Molecule: long non-coding RNA, 1238 nt
Organism: Cloeon dipterum
Lineage: Eukaryota; Metazoa; Arthropoda; Insecta; Ephemeroptera; Baetidae
Exons: 3
Source: RefSeq, a predicted model, not a curated record
GCAGACGAGACAGGCGAGAGUCACACUCGCGACGCGCGGGGUGGUGAAUGGUGAAUGGGGGUGUCGCGCGCAUAAAUGACGCUCAGCAAUGGGGGCAGCCGCCGCACCGGUGUCCGUCCGCGGAUUAUUAUUGAUUCGCGAGUGCGGCGGCGGGCAGCACCGGGCGACGACCACCAGCAGCAGCGUCCGGCGAUCGAGGCAGCGGGCGGCCGACUCAAGAGGUCGUGGGCAGGUCAGCCGCGGGCCGCGCCGAGUGUGGCAAACUGGAUUUCCCCUUUACAACUCCUGCUUGCAUAUGUAUGCACUUUUACAAAUACACCUCUGCGUCUUUCAAUACGAAUAUCGCAGUGGGCAGCAGUUAUAAGCAGGUAUUCGAUCAGAACGGCAGCAUGUGAGCAGCCCCUCGUCUAGACCUCUCUUUUCUACAACAGUUCAAAUUUAAUUACACCAAGCAUGCAGACUGAGCAGAAUACCUGCUAGAAUUUCCAUCAUGUUCUUUACGCGCCCACACGAGCAACUUCGGAAUUUGCAAUUUGACCCAGCGGCAGCAACAACAACCUUCUAAUAUACAUCGAAAUCAUCGCCGGCCAAGUAAUUAAAUCAUCAGCCCGUGAAAUAAUUACGGCCCGAGUGAUUUUUCGACCUGUGCCAGAUCAAAGAGCGGCAUCAGAGAAGCUGCGGGCUCCUUUAAGAUGGAAAUCUGCGAACCCGACUGAAUUCCUGCACGAGUGAAUGCGCGCGUUCUCCACUCGCCUUCGUGGAACUGCAAACGUGCUCUCUGCCUGCUUUUUAUCCGCUGCGAGACAAAGUUGGACAAAGCGACGAGAGAGAGAGAGAGCGAGAGAGCGCCGUCAAAAACUUGGCUGCAGCUUUGCGAAAUAAUGAACGCUUUGCUGCUGAAUCGUCCACUGAGUUAUUUGCUGCUGCUGCUGCUUCUGCGGCUCUAAACUUUUUGCCCACCGGAAUGUGUUUUGUGUUCAGAGGAAAGGAUUGAAUUUCGCGUAGUUUUGUUAAAAGAAAAAAUUGAUAGCUAUAUUAUAAUUAAGAUUUCUUGUUUUGAUGCAAAAAUUUUAUAUAAUUCUAGAUUGAAUUUAAGUUAAUCACAGACGCUGAAUAUAUUGUGUAGAAUUAAAGAUGUUGAAGGAGGUUGAAGCCUGAUUUUUAUUUCCAUAAGCGCAUUUUACUGAGAAGUUGGUGUCCAUCCUAUUUAAAGAUAUGAUUAUUUUAAUUUAUUAAUG